Molecule: non-coding RNA, 22 nt
Filed under: Arabidopsis thaliana (thale cress)
Lineage: Eukaryota; Viridiplantae; Streptophyta; Magnoliopsida; Brassicales; Brassicaceae
Source: RNAcentral
ACGGCGGUAUGCUAGUUUUCGC